Molecule: microRNA precursor, 99 nt
Filed under: Ochotona princeps (American pika)
Lineage: Eukaryota; Metazoa; Chordata; Mammalia; Lagomorpha; Ochotonidae
Description: miRNA (ENSOPRG00000017990.1)
Source: RNAcentral
AUUGGUCAUCUGGCAUGAUUCAAAAUGCCUCAGUCUGAAUGUUUACAUGUAGUCCAUUGCAAAGUGGAUAGAAAGGAAGUCUUGCUGAUGCUACAUGUG